Molecule: ribosomal RNA, 368 nt
Filed under: uncultured fungus
Lineage: Eukaryota; Fungi
Description: eukaryotic LSU rRNA
Rfam family: Eukaryotic large subunit ribosomal RNA
Source: RNAcentral
AUAUCAGUAAGCGGAGGAAAAGAAACUAACAAGGAUUCCCCUAGUAACGGCGAGUGAAGCGGGAAGAGCUCAAAUUUAAAAUCUGGCACUCUUUUGAGUGUCCGAAUUGUAAUUGAGAGGGUGUUCUUUUGGUGAACGCUGUGGCCAAAGUUCUCUGGAAAGGGACAACAAAGAGGGUGACAUUCCCGUCUGGGUCAUGGUGAUAGAGCCAGUUUAUAAAGGACACUCCAAGAGUCGGAUUGUUUGGGAAUGCAGUCCAAAAUGGGUGGUACAUUUCAUCUAAAGCUAAAUAUUGGCAAGAGACCGAUAGCGAACAAGUACCGUGAGGGAAAGAUGAAAAGAACUUUGAAAAGAGAGUUAAACAGUAC